UGAUAUGCUAAUACCCACAAUUCAAAUCUUCUAAGAUAACUAGCCAAAUUAGUUGCAGUUUUUUCUGGGUCUCGAAAAUUUUCAAUCCACAUUUGAGAACAAACCGCGACACCAUCCUCCUUCAUUAAGGUGGAUGGGUCAUCAGGGUCCAAAACCCUUCGAUUAUGCGUCGAAGUGAACAUAAACACUCUAAAUAAUUUGAGCCCAUUAUUUCUAGGAAUUGAAAUAUGUGACUGAGAGUUAAAUAUAUUGGUGCUGCUUAGAGGAUAAGUAGACUUUGUGAGCAACUGAUGACUCAAAAUAAAGAGCCGUUUAUGCAUUGGAAAGUGAAAAUCUUACCGGUUCGACGGGUUCGAUUCUGAGUGAGAUUUUCUCUCAACAAUGGAGUUUGACAAACCCUACCUGAAGAACAAUUUAUGUUGAUUAUCUCUAACUUCAGUUGAGCACGAACUGUUUGAUAAAAUGUCUGUAAGAAAAUAAGGACUGAUUAAUUGAGAACGGAAGUAAGCCCACGUAAAAUAAAUAUGGCGAACUGUUCCCAAUUAGGCUGUGUGUGUGGACGGUGCAAGUGGCUUUAGCCAUUUGUUUGGCUCCCCUAACCAGUAGAUUUUUUAACUAAUGCGAUUAACUUAAUUCUUAUUAUUGCAACUAAAUUUUAAUUCGUUCCCUAAACUUUAACCAAAAAAUCAAUUUGAACCCUACACUUUAUUUUAAAUUAUUUACCCUUAUAGCAAAGGAACAAAAUGAACACUUCGCAUUUUUUUAGGCCAAUUUUUUGACAAAAAAACACAAGCUAAAGGAAUAUUAUUAGGGAUAUUCCUUAAAGAUUUUCACACUAUAGAUAGUUAAUAUGAGAAAUCGAGAGAUGGGGUAUGUAUUUUUAGGUGAAUGUUUGGCCAUAAAAUGAUGCGGGGUGGACUUUGUUUUCUCGCUUAAAAUAUAGGGUGCAUUUAAUUUAAAACAAAAUGUAUGUGCACAUUAAUUUUAGAGUUAAAGUUUAUAAUGCAAACUAUAAUUUAGUCUAUUAUUGCUUUUAUUUAUAUAAGUAGGUUAUGUUUGGUAAUGAAAAAGUAGUUAAACUAUUACAAAAGUAAAAGGUAUUUAGUGUUAAGAAAUUGUUUAUCACUUAUUUUAAAUGUAAAUUACUAAAAAAAAUGGAUGGACCUAUUAAAAUAAAUAGGGAUAUUUGGUCAAAUCUGAUUGUUAGACUUUGACAAAUAAUCACAAACACCAAAUUGGUGCUUCUGAUUAUCAGAAAUUUCAAAAAGUAAAUUAUAAACCAAUUUAAGUACUUAUAACCAAUCUCAAACACCCUCUUAAUCAAUUUACAUAUUAGACCAAUUCAUUUUCAGUAUACUACAAUUUUAUUAAUUGCUUUAUUAAAAUCACAUCAUUACAAGUCUAGAUCAUAUUACUAAAAAUGUGAAAUUACAACACUUUCAAAAUAUUUUUCUUUUUUUUACAUGUUGGGGUAUGAUUAUUUGGGCUCGGUUGAUAUGGUGAGCCAAAGUUCACGUGAAGGUAUUUAUGUGACAACCCGAGAAUUUGAAUAUUUAUUAAAAUCUUAAAAGAUUGAAUUAAGGUUAAAUAAUAAACCUAGACAGAAAAUAAGUGAAUGGAUUUGAUAUUUUCAGGAAGUAAUUUUAUGGAUUUAAAAAAAAUUUUGGAGAAUUAUUCAGGAUUAAGGGUUUAAGUGUAUAUGUUCUGUAUAUAUGGUUGUAUAUGUGUACAGUAUGUGGUUAAGGGUCAGGGGUUGACCAAAUAACCUAUAUAUAUCAGUGGCAAACCCUAAUAUUAUAUUAAGAACGUCAACGUUCAUUUAGAAAAUUCUUACGAUUUAUAAGAAACCCUAAAACCGGUUCUAGAAAUCCUAAUUUCAGUUUUGGGAAAUCCGAAACCUUAAUUCAGAAUUUGAAAACCCUAAAUUGGGAACUUAAUGGCUUAAGUGUAUUGAUUAUAAACUUAAUUAGGGUAAAACCUAACAAAAUAGUUAGAAAACCCUAAUUUGUAAAAUUAUAAAACUCUAAUUGCAAAAUUAGGAACCCUAAUUGCUAAUUAAGAAAGUUUUGUGUUAAUUAGGAAAUAUUAAUGUGACGAACAAAAUUUUUGUAAUUUAAUUCUUAAUAUUUAGCGAAGUAACUAAAUAUUUUCGAUGAUUUAAUUAUUAGAUUAAAUAAUUAAUUGAUGCAAUUGUGAUCCGAGCACGACUGUUAGCAGCUCAAGAUAGGCAGAAGAAACACGCUGAUCCACAUCGUAAAAACGUUGAGUUUGAAUCGGGUAGUUAUGUGUUCUUAAAGGUCUCUCCUUGAAAAGGAAAGAUCAGGUUCGAAAAGAAAGGGAAAUUAAGCCCAAGAUUCAUUGGACCAUUUGAAGUACUACGGAGAAUCGGAGAAGUCGCGUAUGAGGUUGCCUUACCUCCAUCACUCGAGAAUGUCCACAACGUCUUCCAUGUUUAUGUGUUACGACCCUACAAAACCGAUUACAAGCAUGUAAUUGAAUACGAACCCCUACAUUUUGAAAAAGACUUAUCUUACGAAGAAAUUUCUGUUCAAAUUGUCGACCAAAAAGAACAAGUUUUCAGAAAUAAAGUAAUACCUUCUGUUAAGAUAAUUUGGAGGAACCACAACGCUGAAGAAGCUACGUGGGAACUCGAAGAGAAUAUGAUGAAGAAUUACCCUCAUUUAUUUACUUAAUUUAUGUGUAAGCGAUUCUGGGGACAUAAUCUUUGUAAGGGAGGAGAAUGUAACGGGUCAAAUUUAUUGAGUCGUGAUUCUGGGGACAGAAUCCUUUUAAGGGGGGAAAGAUGUGACGAACAAGAUUUUUAUAAUUUAAUUCUUAAUAUUUAUCGAAGUAAAUAAAUAUUUUCGAUGAUUUAAUUAUUAGAUUAAAUAAUUAAUUGAUGCAAUUAUGAUAGAUUAAUUUAGUGAUAUGUAUUAUAUUUAUUAAAUUAAUGUAGAGAAUUUUAUUAUUCAAAGUUUGUAAUUAUGUGAGUUUAUUAAAUUAAAAUAAAUAUUUAAUAAACCUAAUGUUAUUUUAAUUAAUAUAAUAAUUAAUUAGAGAUUUAAUAAUUUGAUAUAAUUAAUUAAUGAGAAAAUUAAUUAUGUGACUAUGUGAAUUAAUGAGAAUUUAUUAUAUUUUAUUUAAUUUAAAUUAAAUAAAUUAAUUGAGUUAUUUUAUAAAGGGUNNNNNNNNNNNNNNNNNNNNNNNNNNNNNNNNNNNNNNNNNNNNNNNNNNNNNNNNNNNNNNNNNNNNNNNNNNNNNNNNNNNNNNNNNNNNNNNNNNNNUCAAAUCUUCUAAGAUAACUAGCCAAAUUAGUUGCAGUUUUUUCUGGGUCUCGAAAAUUUUCAAUCCACAUUUGAGAACAAACCGCGACACCAUCCUCCUUCAUUAAGGUGGAUGGGUCAUCAGGGUCCAAAACCCUUCGAUUAUGCGUCGAAGUGAACAUAAACACUCUAAAUAAUUUGAGCCCAUUAUUUCUAGGAAUUGAAAUAUGUGACUGAGAGUUAAAUAUAUUGGUGCUGCUUAGAGGAUAAGUAGACUUUGUGAGCAACUGAUGACUCAAAAUAAAGAGCCGUUUAUGCAUUGGAAAGUGAAAAUCUUACCGGUUCGUUUCUGAGUGAGAUUUUCUCUCAACAAUGGAGUUUGACAAACCCUACCUAAAGAACAGUUUAUGUUGAUAAUCUCUAACUUCAGUUGAGCACGAACUGUUUGAUAAAAUGUCUGUAAGAAAAUAAGGACUCUGAUUAAUUGAGAACGGAAGUAAGCCCACGUAAAAUAAAUAUGGCUAACCGUUCCCAAUUAGGCUGUGUGUAUGGACGGUGCAACGUGCAAGUGGCUUUAGCCAUUUGUUUGGCUCCCCUAACCUGUAGAUUGUUUAAAUAAUGCGAUUAACUUGGUUCUUAUUAUUGCAACUAAAUUUUAAUUUGUUCCCUAAACUUUAACCAUUAAAUCAAUUUGAACCCUACACUUUACUUUAUUUU
This 3980-nucleotide long non-coding RNA is filed under the name Panax ginseng (ginseng). RNAcentral describes it as "long non-coding RNA (PGIN_LNC000508)". The record is from RNAcentral. Lineage: Eukaryota; Viridiplantae; Streptophyta; Magnoliopsida; Apiales; Araliaceae.